Eublepharis macularius is the source of this 1102-nucleotide long non-coding RNA. RefSeq lists it as uncharacterized. The record is from RefSeq and is a predicted model, not a curated record. NCBI's taxonomy places the organism in Eukaryota, Metazoa, Chordata, Lepidosauria, Squamata, Eublepharidae. The transcript is spliced from 2 exons.
GGAGCUGGAGCCAACGUCAGAGUCCCCCCCUCCCGGAAGGCCAAAAUAGAAGCACCAAUUUCUGUAUUGCAUGUGGACGUAGAAAAGAAAGGGUGAUGGGGAGAAUAACGGGACCUGAGGCGAUUAGGGGCGGAGACAGAAGCCAAGGGCUAGUGCGCAGGCGCCACGGUUGUCGCGUUUUCUUCUUGGGCGGUGCGGCUGGAACUUUCUGGAAAUAGCGGCGACGGAGACCCGGGGUGGUCUGCCACAGUCCAGAAGAUGGUCCCCUACCAUGACAUGGCUGAGCUGGCCACCUGGAUCCAUGCCACAGUUACAUCAAGACUAGACUACUGGAAGCACUACCGCCUAGCCUUGUUACUUUCGGAGAUGGUUGGGUGGUGGUCUGUGGAGAAGUCUGCUGCUGUAUGUUUUUUAAAAAAAUAUAUUGAUAUGGUUCUAUUGGUUUUAAAGCUAUUUGUAUUUUAAAUUAUACUGGUUGUAAUCCGCCCUGAACCUGCUGAUGCUGGGUGGAAUAUAAAUUGAACCAAUUAAAUAAACGUACACUACAUAGGUCUCCUUUCCAAGUCAGCUCAGACUCCAGUUGAUGCAGAACACUGCAGUUCUGUUAUUAUCAAGACUAGGUGGAAUAUGCAUAUUACUUGUAUUCUAGUCACUCUGUUGGUUUAUCAGAUUCAAGAUUUUGUCAACAUACAAAGCUCUACAUGGCCUGAGUUGCUUUGUGGGAUCACCUGUCCAUCAGAUGUACCGUACACGCUCUGCUCAACUGAGCAAGGUCUUCUGCUGGUGCAAUCCUGCAAAUGGGCAAAAUCAACAACUGCCCAUACAUGUGCAUUAACUGAGGUGGCUCCUUCCUUAUGAAAAUGGCCUGCCCGAUCAGAUUAGGAAGGUUCCCACUGUUUAGUCUUUUGCAAGCUAUGCAAAACAAUUAUUCUGAAAGACUUUAUUAUGUAGAUAUGAAGGCUGUACUGUAACAAACUGGUUCAUAAAGAUGCGUCGGUAAAGGGAUAGGGACUGUAGACUAUACUACCACGUACUGUUGGUAGCUGUAGGUAUGCUCAUACUUGGUAAUUUCUGUGUCAUUAAAUGUGUCAUGUUAAAAUUG